This is a long non-coding RNA of Dunckerocampus dactyliophorus (ringed pipefish), 880 nucleotides long. RefSeq lists it as uncharacterized. The transcript has 4 exons. Lineage: Eukaryota; Metazoa; Chordata; Actinopteri; Syngnathiformes; Syngnathidae. The record is from RefSeq and is a predicted model, not a curated record.
UCCUCGCUCUGAAGCACAAGCUAGCAACGGCAGAAAGGAAGUUUUAAAAAAGCUCAUAAACAAGCUGUGUUUGCUCUAAAACGUUAGAGCCUUGGGAAACUUUCGUCUUUCGCUGAUUUGUAUUGAUCCACAGACUCCACUCUCAAAAUGAUGCAAGUUAACGACACGCUACAAAGAGGGUUGCUGGGGUAUGCUGGAGCCUAUCCCAGCUGACUCCAGGCAAGAGGCGGUCGCCAGCCAAUCGCAGGGCAUCAAAUGAAAUAAGGGGGUGAGAAAAUAUGAGCAUUUCUUGGCGGGAAGUGAGGACGUCUCUCAGCACGGAUAAAUAUAUGGAUUAAUCCGUGUUUUCUCAUGCAAACGCUGCCUGGCUGAUGACUGGAGCGAGAGGCGGCGGCUUAACGAGAUCACUAGAGGACGCCUGGUUUGCCCCCGCUGCCCAUUCACAGAGUGUGAGCAGCACACACACUCAUGUGUGAAAUGGACUCUUCAUACGCUUUAAGGGCUGUAUCUUAAUCCCCCACCCUCUGGAUUCCUUUUUGGGGGGGAAUGGUGAGGGGUGGUGCAGGGGGCGUGGCCAGUGAAUCCCCUGACAGAGGUUGUGUAUCUGCUGGGAUGGAGGUGAUGAUUUCAUUAAGGACGCUCGGCUGACCCACAAUGGCUGCACGGUAGUUUUGUGGUGUUUGUCAAAGUGUAGCUUGCACAUAAUCUUCAUCUCACAGACUGACCCUCCAGUAUGACCCCUCUUCUUUUUAAGAAUGAGCCACUGUUCAUAGUAGACGGUACCAAUAAUAAAUGGGUCUAUGCUAACAAGUAAGGAUGUGUAGGCUAUAAUUGAUGUGGGAGUCUAACUGCUUUGCCUUUAUUAGGUGUACAGACCAUG